CCCGCCCCUGGAAGCCUCUCCCUGUGGCUGCUGUGUCACACGUGCGGCAGUAGGAGGCAGAGAGGAGAGGGUCUGUCUACAUUCAGUGUUCUUCUGUCCUGUGAACAUCUCAGUGAUUGGCAGCUUAACACU
Molecule: small nucleolar RNA, 132 nt
Organism: Psammomys obesus (fat sand rat)
Lineage: Eukaryota; Metazoa; Chordata; Mammalia; Rodentia; Muridae
Product: small nucleolar RNA SNORA17
Exons: 1
Source: RefSeq, a predicted model, not a curated record